Molecule: long non-coding RNA, 406 nt
Filed under: Rattus norvegicus (Norway rat)
Lineage: Eukaryota; Metazoa; Chordata; Mammalia; Rodentia; Muridae
Description: long non-coding RNA NONRATT004091
Source: RNAcentral
CUAACAAGCUGUCAAGUGCAGCCGGAGGACAGCUCUCAGGGUGCCUGGGCCUGCCUGGGCUAUGCUCUGUGUGGGCUCCCCUCAGUUCUGGGUUUGGCUGUUGUCAGCUGACUUUCUCUGAACAUUUGGACUAGGCCAGCACUCUCCUUCAGAAUGAAGGCAAUUUCAGAAAUGCUGGUUCCUGCUGCCUAGGGUCACUAGGGACCUUGGGACAGGCCCUAGGGGUCUGAUGCCACGUACCCUGGAUGGGCAGAUCACCAUGGAGAAGACCCCCAGCUACUUUGUGACUCAGGAGGCUCCCCGCCGAAUCCAUGAUAUGUCCCCAGACACCAAGCUGAUUGUGGUGGUGCGGAACCCUGUGACCCGGGCCAUCUCUGAUUAUGCACAGACACUCUCCAAGACCCCA